AUUGAACGCUGGCGGCAUGCCUUACACAUGCAAGUCGAACGGUAACGGGCCUUCGGGUGCCGACGAGUGGCGAACGGGUGAGUAAUACAUCGGAACGUGCCCGAUCGUGGGGGAUAACGAGGCGAAAGCUUUGCUAAUACCGCAUACGAUCUACGGAUGAAAGCAGGGGACCGCAAGGCCUUGCGCGGACGGAGCGGCCGAUGGCAGAUUAGGUAGUUGGUGGGAUAAAAGCUUACCAAGCCGACGAUCUGUAGCUGGUCUGAGAGGAUGAUCAGCCACACUGGGACUGAGACACGGCCCAGACUCCUACGGGAGGCAGCAGUGGGGAAUUUUGGACAAUGGGCGCAAGCCUGAUCCAGCCAUGUCGCGUGCAGGAUGAAGGCCUUCGGGUUGUAAACUGCUUUUGUACGGAACGAAAAGCCUUCUUUUAAUACAGGAGGGUCAUGACGGUACCGUAAGAAUAAGCACCGGCUAACUACGUG
Molecule: ribosomal RNA, 482 nt
Filed under: uncultured bacterium
Lineage: Bacteria
Description: partial 16S ribosomal RNA
Rfam family: Bacterial small subunit ribosomal RNA
Source: RNAcentral